UACGGGAGAAAGGGGGCAACUUGUUGCUCUCGCUAUUAGAUGAGCCUAAGUCGGAUUAGCUAGAUGGUGGGGUAAAGGCCUACCAUGGCGACGAUCUGUAGCUGGUCUGAGAGGAUGAUCAGCCACACCGGGACUGAGACACGGCCCGGACUCCUACGGGAGGCAGCAGUGGGGAAUAUUGGACAAUGGGGGAAACCCUGAUCCAGCCAUGCCGCGUGUGUGAAGAAGGCCUUUUGGUUGUAAAGCACUUUAAGCAGUGAAGAAGACUCUUCGGUUAAUACCCGGAGACGAUGACAUUAGCUGCAGAAUAAGCACCGGCUAACUCUGUGCCAGCAGCCGCGGUAAUACAGAGGGUGCAAGCGUUAAUCGGAAUUACUGGGCGUAAAGGGAGCGUAGGUGGCUCGAUAAGUCAGAUGUGAAAUCCCCGGGCUCAACCUGGGAACUGCAUCUGAUACUGUUGAGCUAGAGUAUGUGAGAGGAAGGUAGAAUUCCAGGUGUAGCGGUGAAAUGCGUAGAGAUCUGGAGGAAUACCGAUGGCGAAGGCAGCCUUCUGGCAUAAUACUGACACUGAGGCUCGAAAGCGUGGGUAGCAAACAGGAUUAGAUACCCUGGUAGUCCACGCCGUAAACGAUGUCUACUAGUCGUUGGGUCCCUUGAGGACUUAGUGACGCAGCUAACGCAAUAAGUAGACCGCCUGGGGAGUACGGCCGCAAGGUUAAAACUCA
Molecule: ribosomal RNA, 725 nt
Filed under: Psychrobacter cryohalolentis
Lineage: Bacteria; Pseudomonadati; Pseudomonadota; Gammaproteobacteria; Moraxellales; Moraxellaceae
Description: bacterial SSU rRNA
Rfam family: Bacterial small subunit ribosomal RNA
Source: RNAcentral